AUCAAUUUGACACCGAUUUUACUCAUUAAAUUCUUCAAUUUUCUCUGCUUUAUUUUUAUUUUGAUUUGCUCUGCGAUUCAGGGCUCGGUAACGGGAGGUCCUUCAGCCGGCUGUUAACGAUGGUGGGGAGGGCUGAGCUGUGGUGGCGAUUGUAGCAUUAUCGUGUUCGGGUAGGAUAGCGGAUGGCAAAAGGAAUCAUACUUGGAUAGUUUAAAAAGCAGCUUAAAUGUGGCAUCAAUAGUUGAGCUGAGUCAUGGUGGUGCUGAGUUUAUAGGUGGAAUAUGGCGUCCAUGUCUUAGAUAAUGUGGUAUAUACUUUCCACUUUUUGACUUACUAAUGAUUGAAUAUUGGAUCCUUACUACUAUUCACCACUACCUAAGUAGAUCUUUUUGAUUGAUUUAUUAGUUUCAGACCAAUACCAUUUCAUGUUAGUGAAGUGUGAACAGCCCUACUCCUGAGCUAUGCUCUGUAAUUGAGGGUUGAGGUCUUAAUGGUGGAAUUGAACUACAAUGCUUUCUGAUAUUUUUUACUGCUGUAUAGAGUGGUGGAAUGAAUGGCUAUAUCUCCCUUUGUGUUGGGAAUCCUUGCCGUCUUGUCUUCAAAUCAUCGAAUGGAAGACAACAUGAACAAUCAAGUCAUGUAAGCUUCAUAAAUUAUUUACUUUAUUUUUCAUUGGUGAUGCUGAAGAACAAACUAUUGUGGUUUUGUGGGGAUUUGCUUGCGGAGCAGCAGACAAAUAUUUCUUAAAAUGUUAUUUGCUCUUCUAAAAUUGGAGGAACCAAUUUUCAUUUAAUUUGUUUUUACUACUUUUUCUCAAAUAUUUUCUUUCAGGUUUCUCAAAUAUUAUCAUGGUUCAAAACA
Molecule: long non-coding RNA, 861 nt
Organism: Salvia miltiorrhiza (redroot sage)
Lineage: Eukaryota; Viridiplantae; Streptophyta; Magnoliopsida; Lamiales; Lamiaceae
Exons: 2
Source: RefSeq, a predicted model, not a curated record